GGACAGAAAGACCCUAUGAAGCUUUACUGUAGCUUGGAAUUGGGUUUGGGCUUUUCUUGCGCAGGAUGGGUGGGAGGCUAAGAAAAUAAUCUUGCGGGGUUAUUCGAGCCAAUGGUGAGAUACCACUCUGGAAAAGCUAGAAUUCUAACCUUGAAAGCCGUUAUCCGGCCAAGGAACAGUUCCAGGUAGGCAGUUUGACUGGGGCGGUCGCCUCCUAAAAAGUAACGGAGGCGCGCAAAGGUUCUCUCAGGCUGGUCGGAAAUCAGUCGUAGAGUGUAAAGGCAUAAGAGAGCUUGACUGUGAGACCUACAAGUCGAACAGAGACGAAAGUCGGCCUUAGUGAUCCGGCGGUACCGAGUGGAAGGGCUGUCGCUCAACGGAUAAAAGUUACUCUAGGGAUAACAGGCUGA
RNAcentral lists this ribosomal RNA (410 nucleotides) under Pyropia dentata. Its description in RNAcentral is "partial large subunit ribosomal RNA". It matches the Rfam family "Bacterial large subunit ribosomal RNA", at positions 2078 to 2485 of the family's 2925-position model. The record is from RNAcentral. Lineage: Eukaryota; Rhodophyta; Bangiophyceae; Bangiales; Bangiaceae.